RNAcentral lists this ribosomal RNA (468 nucleotides) under uncultured bacterium. Its description in RNAcentral is "partial 16S ribosomal RNA". It matches the Rfam family "Bacterial small subunit ribosomal RNA", at positions 28 to 507 of the family's 1533-position model. The record is from RNAcentral.
GACGAACGCUGGCGGCGUGCUUAACACAUGCAAGUCGAACGGAAAGGCCCUGCUUUUGUGAGGUGCUCGAGUGGCGAACGGGUGAGUAACACGUGAGUAACCUGCCCUUGACUUUGGGAUAACUUCAGGAAACUGGGGCUAAUACCGGAUAGGAGCUCCUGCUGCAUGGUGGGGGUUGGAAAGUUUCGGCGGUUGGGGAUGGACUCGCGGCUUAUAAGCUUGUUGGUGGGGUAGUGGCUUACCAAGGCUUUGACGGGUAGCCGGCCUGAGAGGGUGACCGGCCACAUUGGGACUGAGAUACGGCCCAGACUCCUACGGGAGGCAGCAGUGGGGAAUAUUGCACAAUGGGCGGAAGCCUGAUGCAGCAACGCCGCGUGCGGGAUGACGGCCUUCGGGUUGUAAACCGCUUUCGCCUGUGACGAAGCGUGAGUGACGGUAAUGGGUAAAGAAGCACCGGCUAACUACGUG